GGAUUAUAAUAUUUUUUUAAUUUAGGAAAAAACUGGAUAAACUCCUAAAUCUUUCUGUCUUUCUUGUUACUUGUAGUCUUUGGAAGACAACCACAUUUUUGUUUGUGUUGCUUCUAAUUCACAUGGGCAGACUUUUGAAGGUUUCUUGCCGUGGUUGAAUUAUACUUGUUUAAGUUUAAGCAGUGUUUAAAAUAUCAUAUAUAAAUUUAUCGAAAUAUCGAUAAAUACAUUGAUAUUGGUUGUCAUCGGUGGAAAGUAUGGAAAUUUUUAAUGGGAUAGGUAUCUCAACUCGUCAAAAUUAGAGAAAAAUUUCUCAAAAAAAAAAAAUCAAAAGUUUGAAAUUUGCUGGAACCAUCUGCAAUGGGUUCUAGCAAAUUUUCUAUCGUGAAAAAUAUCAUCGAUGUUCAUUGAAUUUUCUUGUAUCUCACCGAUAAAGGAUGAAGUUUUCAUUUAAUCCUUCUUUUCAUAUCGAUCAUUGAUUUUUCAGAUAUCGACUAAAAUAUCGACAAUUUCGCUGAUAUCUUAAAUACUGAGUGAUUGAAGUUAGUUUUUGAGGUCCACAAUGUAAUGCGUUCAAGGACAAAAGUUAUAUUACUUUUUAUGGAUUGAUGCGGCAUGUACUUACACAUAUUUUAUACAAAAGUUGAUUUACUUA
Molecule: long non-coding RNA, 655 nt
Organism: Pyrus x bretschneideri (Chinese white pear)
Lineage: Eukaryota; Viridiplantae; Streptophyta; Magnoliopsida; Rosales; Rosaceae
Exons: 2
Source: RefSeq, a predicted model, not a curated record